CGGGUACUGCCGCUGGCGUUGCUGCUAGCGGCGGCAACGCUGUGUGCUCGGCCAGGCGCCGCCGAGCCCUGCGCCGCGCCCUGCUCGUGCCGCCGCGGCCUGCUGGACUGCAGCCGGCAGCGCCUGCCCAGCGGGCCGGGCCCACGGAGGAUCCCGCCGCUGCCCGCCGGCACCACGGGGCUAGAUUUAAGUCAUAAUCAUUUGUUAUCAUCUAACUGGAGCAUUGGUUUGUCUGUCCAUACUCUGCAAGAAGUGAAAAUGAAUUACAAUGAGCUAAGUGAAAUUCCGUAUUUUGGAGAAACAACUUCCAAUAUAACCCUUCUCUCAUUGGUGCACAAUACCAUUCCAGAAAUAAAUGCUGAGCAACUCCAGGUCUACCUUUCAUUGGAAAAUCUAGAUCUUAGUUCUAAUCUUAUCUCAGAAAUUAAAGCCUCUUCUUUUCCACGAAUGCAACUGAAGUACCUGAAUCUGAGUAACAACAGAAUAACUACUCUGGAAGCAGGUUGCCUUGAUAAUUUAUCUAGCUCACUAAUGGUGAUAAAACUGAACAGAAAUAGGAUUAGUGUGAUUCCACCAAAGAUCUUCAGAUUGCCUCAUGUGCAGUUUCUGGAAUUGAAAAGGAACCGGAUUAAAAUAGUGGAAAGUCUUACAUUCCAAGGACUGGAAUCCUUAAAAUCCUUGAAAAUGCAGCGCAAUGGGAUUAGCAGACUAAUGGAUGGAGCAUUCUUUGGCCUGGGUAAUAUAGAGGAAUUAGAACUGGAACAUAAUAACUUAACAGAAGUUAACAAGGGCUGGUUGUAUGGGCUGCGGACAUUGCAACAACUCUAUGUUAGCCAGAAUUCCAUCACCAGGAUCAGUCCAGAUGCAUGGGAAUUCUGCCAAAGCCUUGCUGAGCUAGACUUGUCGUACAAUCAGCUCACUCGCCUCAAGGAAUCUGCCUUUGUGGGACUUGGCUUACUGGAGAAACUAAACCUGGGUGACAAUCGUAUCAGUCACAUUGCCGAUGGUGUCUUUAGAAGUCUGACAAAUCUUCAAACCUUGGACUUGCGGAACAAUGAGAUCUCCUGGGCCAUAGAAGAUGCAAAUGAAGCUUUUGUGGGACUCGGCAGGCUGGAUAAACUGAUCUUGCAAGGAAACCAAAUCAAGUCAAUUACCAAAAAAGCAUUCUCUGGUCUUGAAGGACUUGAAUAUCUAGAUUUAAGCAACAAUGCAGUAAUGUCCAUACAAGAAAAUGCCUUUGCCCAGGCUGAGCUGAAGGAGCUAGUGUUGAACACGAGCAGUUUGCUCUGUGAUUGCCAGUUGAAGUGGCUGCCCCAGUGGCUCAGUGAGAGCCAUUUGCUGCAGGCUGUAAAUGUCAGCUGUGCUCACCCUGAGUGGCUGGCAGGACAAAGCCUUCUCAGUGUGGACCCUGAUGACUUUGUCUGUGAUMAUUUCCCCAAACCGCAGAUCAGAGUCCACCCAGAGACCACAGUGGCCCUGCGAGGCUCGAAUGUGACCCUGAUGUGCAUUGCUGUGAGCAGCAGUGAUUCACCCAUGGCCACGGCCUGGCGCAAAGACAGCGAGGUUCUCUAUGAUGCAGAGGUUGAGAAUUUUGCCAGGUACCAGCAGCAAAGUGGGGAGGUGCUGGAAUAUACCACUGUACUACACCUCUUCAAUGUGAAUUUCACUGAUGAGGGGAAAUACCAGUGCAUUGUCACCAAUCACUUCGGCUCCAAUUAUUCCAGCAAAGCCAAGCUGACUGUCAAUGAGCUCCCUUCUUUCCUGAAAACCCCCAUGGAUCUCACUAUCCGCACCGGGGCAAUGGCCCGGCUGGAGUGUGCUGCCGAGGGCCACCCCCCGCCACAGAUCUCCUGGCAGAAGGAUGGUGGCACAGACUUCCCUGCUGCAAGAGAGAGGAGGAUGCAUGUCAUGCCUGAGGACGAUGUGUUCUUCAUUGCAAAUGUGAAGAUGGAAGACAUGGGGAUCUACAGCUGCAUGGCCCAGAACAUCGCAGGGGGACUCUCAGCAAAUGCUACCCUCACUGUGCUGGAAACGCCUUCCUUCAUGAGGCCCCUGGAGGACAGGACAGUGACUCGAGGUGAAACUGCUGUCCUGCAGUGCAUAGCUGGUGGCAGUCCUGCCCCUCGCCUCAACUGGACCAAGGACGAUGGUCCUUUGACAGUCACCGAGAGGCAUUUCUUCGCUGCUGCAAAUCAGCUCCUCAUCAUUGUGGAUACAGGGUUGGAGGAUGCUGGGAAGUACACGUGCAUCAUGUCCAACACUCUGGGGACUGAGCGUGGCCACAUUUACCUAAAUGUCCUGGCUUCCCCCAACUGUGAUUCUUCCCAGAGUGGCAUUGUGCAUGAGGAGGAUGGCUGGACAACCAUAGGGAUCGUGAUUAUUGUUGUCGUGUGUUGUGUGGUGGGAACGUCCUUGGUGUGGGUUAUUGUCAUUUAUCACAUGAGGAGGAAGAACGAAGACUACAGCAUCACUAACACAGAGGAAAUGAACCUACCUGCUGACAUUCCCAGCUACCUGUCCUCCCAAGGAACACUGUCUGAGCCUCAGGAAGGCUACAGUAACUUGGAGGCAGGGAGCCAUCAGCAGCUGAUGCCUCCAUCGGGCAGCUACCUGCACAAAGGCUCUGAUGGUGGUGCAGCGCCAUUAGUGAUCUGCUCAGAUUGUUAUGACAAUGCCAACAUCUACUCCCGGGCCCGACAGUACUGUCCCUAUGCCUUCAUCACUGAGGAGGAUCCCCUGGAUCAAACACUCCCAAGUCUCAUGGUGCAGAUGCCCAAGGAAACGUACACAGCAUGCACUCAGAAUGAAACCAGUGCUCUGGAUAAUCUUCUAGUAGACAGAGACAUACCUGUCUUCCUUACCAACCAUGACAAAAAAAGUGAUAAGAAAAUCUCCUCCCAGCAGAUGAAUGAGCCCUUCCAGGUUCCUCUGUGGGGAGGCAGCAAAGACUUGGCUUGCUCUCACCCCCAAUUCCUGCGCCAUCCAUUGGCCCGUGAAGCCCCACAGCCACUCCAAAGCGAUGRUAUCGCCAGCAGUGACCGGGACCAGGCGUCACCCAGAGCCUGUCCCAGGCUUCAGGAGCAGAAUUUUGAUUAUAACAGGACACAGAACAUUCAUGACCAGAGUGAAGCCACGUAAAACACUCACAAAGCCUUGAAAGCAAAUCCAGAUUGACUGACUGUGUUUACUACCUCAGGACUAACCCCACAGCCAAAGACACUCGCGUAUGUGUCUGCAGUGUAUGUGUCUGCAGUUACUAAACAGUCGGGCUCUCUUGGAGGAGGUGGCACAUGCCCUUUUUUCUGCGAUUUCUCCAUGGGAAAAUGGGAACAUGCACCAGAGAACAUGUGGAUAAUUAAUGCCAUCUACAAAAACAGCAUUAAAACAUGAUUGUGUGAUGCUGGAAGCAGCCUUUGUGGUGGUGCAUGCUUUGGAAAGCUCCCAAGAGAAUUUGCAGUUCAAGAACAGUGAUUUGCCUUCUUUGAAGCAAACCAUCAGGACCUCCUCAUGGAAUUCCCCAGGAACUUUUUCCUGCAGGAAGCACCUGGACCCUUUUUGGAAGAUGGUUGGGGUACUUCUUCCAUGCUGCUGUUGACUCUGGACCAGAAGCCUUGUGUUCYCCACAGUUUUCUCCUGCUAUUCCAGUGCUGCCCACCUGCACUUUGGAUCCUCUGAAAAGGAGAUUUGCUUUCCAACAACAAACUGCGCGAGUUGGUGGGGGUAUCCCCCACAUACUUACUGACUGUGGGACGUGCUGCCAGCUACAUCCCUCCUGAAAACCAUUUGGUUUACUGGGAACACCAAGAUGGAGAUCAUCACCCCAGAGAGCAUCAGCUGCCUCCAGCCAGACAUUGACAGCAUAGGAGCACCGAGUCCCAGCAGCACGGAGUAGAUGAUGGCAGAGAUCACACAGGGAUGUCUGUUGUUGCAGGCAGUGAUGGGCACGUGAAUGUGACUGUUCACCUGGGCUUCCUCAGGGCUCUGGAUUCCAGCUCAUCGCUUGUGGAUUGGGGCUCUCAUUCCAGCACRUCUGUCUUGCCAAAGGCAGGCCUUCUCUGAACAAGAUCCUCCUGCGCGUAACUUGCGUGUAACACAGGAUAACCGCUCUGCUCAUCACUUGGAAGGUUUAAUAGGUCUUCUGAAGGCUUACCAAUGUAAUUCAGCCCAGCAGCUGGAAACAUCUCUGCUGUCCUUGCACAGAUUUAUCACUGACACCAUUUGCCUGACACUGGAUAUUGCAGGAACAUUUAUUGAGCAGAGGGCUGUGAUUUGUGACUUGCCAGAGGGGAUUUUGGGAUGCAGAAAUAAAUGUGUCCUGCUCCAUUAAUAGCUAACAGGCUGCUGAGAGGACCCUGGCAGCAUGCGCGUGGCUUGGGAAAGAUCUGGCUGAACUGGCAACUCGAGGAGCCUGGAUAGCACAGAAGGUGUCCUCUCUCCCUUGGAUGCUCCAACAUGGCCUGAUCCAGAGAAGAAGUUUUGGCUGAGCCUCUGCUUGCUGAGCUCUGGUAUCCCUGUCCAGGCUGUUCAACCUCAGGACAGUGCUUCUGACAACGAGGGGCUCUCGGUGUCCUUCCAAGUGGGAUGUCACUCUUGCAUCUGGUGUUUCUCCUGCCUGUGUUGGCACUACYCACAGCUGCAGAGCUCUGCGGUUCCUUGGCAGUGCUGGGCUGGGGCUCUGCCAGUGACUUUCUGGAGAGGUUUUCCCUCUGCUGCUUUCCAAGGCAGCACCCACCAGGCCAGUCGGGCUGCCCAAAGCUACUGCAAUAUUUGUGAGCAGGUUGCAUAAUGGSUGUCAUGACCCUGCAGUGACUUAUGCUAAACCAAGUGCCUGGAGGAAGCAGGGGCUUCCAGCCUGGAAAAGAUGAUUGUCAGGCUCUGCUGGGCCCUGGCUCAAGAGGGGACAGCUAUGCCUGCUGUGGGCUCAUGGUACUAGGUCGUGCCCUGAUGGAUGUGCAAGGUUACUUGUGUAACUCGUACUUGUGACCCUGGUGUACACUGCCCCUCCCCUGGGCUCUGUGGCUUUGGAGCUGGCAAGCUGCUGAGCUGGCUGAGGUGACUCCAGGGUCCUCUCAUCCUCCCUGUGUCUACAUCCCAAAGCUGAGAUUCCAUGGUAGCCAGGCUGCCCCAUGGGCACUGGUACCUGGCUCCCUGCUGCAGUCCUGCCCUCGCUUUCAGCCUCUGCUCAGGCCUGACAGUUCUGUAUUUCUUGCUCUUGGUUAGGGAACAUGAGGUUUUUGACAGCUGCCUUUGCCAUUAUUCUUCCCUUAAUGCUGUUGUUGUUUUGCGUUACUGUCAAAUCGCAUCUUAAUAAAGUCCUUCCCCUACUKUCAGCAGCAGAUGAGGCACACAAGGGAUUGAGUAAUCUCCUGGC
This is an RNA transcript of Malurus melanocephalus (red-backed fairy wren), 5371 nucleotides long. It is a transcript of the gene named leucine rich repeats and immunoglobulin like domains 2, with no coding region annotated. The transcript has 22 exons. The record is from RefSeq and is a predicted model, not a curated record. Lineage: Eukaryota; Metazoa; Chordata; Aves; Passeriformes; Maluridae.